GAUGAACGCUGGCGGCGUGCCUAAUACAUGCAAGUCGAGCGAACAGACGAGGAGCUUGCUCCUUUGACGUUAGCGGCGGACGGGUGAGUAACACGUAGGUAACCUACCUAUAAGACUGGGAUAACUUCGGGAAACCGGAGCUAAUACCGGAUAAUAUUUCGAACCGCAUGGUUCAAUAGUGAAAGAUGGCUUUGCUAUCACUUAUAGAUGGACCUGCGCCGUAUUAGCUAGUUGGUAAGGUAACGGCUUACCAAGGCAACGAUACGUAGCCGACCUGAGAGGGUGAUCGGCCACACUGGAACUGAGACACGGUCCAGACUCCUACGGGAGGCAGCAGUAGGGAAUCUUCCGCAAUGGGCGAAAGCCUGACGGAGCAACGCCGCGUGAGUGAUGAAGGUCUUCGGAUCGUAAAACUCUGUUAUUAGGGAAGAACAAACGUGUAAGUAACUGUGCACGUCCUGACGGUACCUAAUCAGAAAGCCACGGCUAACUACGUG
RNAcentral lists this ribosomal RNA (497 nucleotides) under uncultured bacterium. Its description in RNAcentral is "partial 16S ribosomal RNA". It matches the Rfam family "Bacterial small subunit ribosomal RNA", at positions 28 to 507 of the family's 1533-position model. The record is from RNAcentral.